Molecule: ribosomal RNA, 554 nt
Filed under: Andrias davidianus (Chinese giant salamander)
Lineage: Eukaryota; Metazoa; Chordata; Amphibia; Caudata; Cryptobranchidae
Description: partial 16S ribosomal RNA
Rfam family: Bacterial large subunit ribosomal RNA
Source: RNAcentral
CGCCUCUUGUUUCUCCUAUAUAAGAGGUCCUGCCUGCCCAGUGACAUAUUGUUAAACGGCCGCGGUAUCAUGACCGUGCAAAGGUAGCGUAAUCACUUGUCUUCUAAAUAAAGACCGGUAUGAAUGGCAAAACGAGAGUUCAACUGUCUCCUUUAACCAAUCAGUGAAAUUGAUCUUUCCGUGCAGAAGCGGAAAUUUAAAUAUAAGACGAGAAGACCCUAUGGAGCUUAAAAUAUAAACCAUUUAUAAAAUAUAUACCAAAAGGCUAAUAAUUAACAUAAAUUCUGGUUAAAAUUUUUAGGUUGGGGCGACCACGGAAUCAAAUAAAACUUCCGAGAUGAAUUAUAAUUCAAGGGUGACAACCCUAAAAAAUAAAACAUUUAACAUAAUUGAUCCAAUAUUUUGAUCAACGGACCAAGUUACCCUAGGGAUAACAGCGCAAUCCUUUCCAAGAGUUCUUAUCGACGAAUGGGUUUACGACCUCGAUGUUGGAUCAGGACAUCCUAAUGGUGCAGCUGCUAUUAAGGGUUCGUUUGUUCAACGAUUAAAGUCCC